AGCUCCAAGAGCAUAUAUUAAAGUUGUUGCAGUUAAAAAGCUCGUAGUUGAAUUUCUUAUAAAUGUACCUGGCCCGCGGCCCUCAAGGCUUGUGUGUGCCGGAGCGCGUUUAUAAUCUUUCUAGAAAUACGAUUUUGCCAUUAACUUGGUGGAGUCGCAAAUCUAGAACUUUUACUUUGAAAAAAUUAGAGUGUUUAAAGCAGGCAAUUUGCCAUAAAUAUAUUAGCAUGGAAUAAUAAUCUAGGACUUCGGUUCUAUUUUGUUGGUUUCUAUAACUGAAGUAAUGAUUGAUAGGGACAGUUGGGGGUGCUAGUAUUGGCCGGCCAGAGGUGAAAUUCUUGGAUUCGGUCAAGACUAACUUAUGCGAAAGCAUUCACCAAGGAUGUCUUCU
Molecule: ribosomal RNA, 391 nt
Filed under: uncultured eukaryote
Lineage: Eukaryota
Description: SSU rRNA
Rfam family: Eukaryotic small subunit ribosomal RNA
Source: RNAcentral